RNAcentral lists this ribosomal RNA (484 nucleotides) under uncultured bacterium. Its description in RNAcentral is "bacterial SSU rRNA". It matches the Rfam family "Bacterial small subunit ribosomal RNA", at positions 28 to 518 of the family's 1533-position model. The record is from RNAcentral.
GAUGAACGCUGGCGGCGUGCCUAAUACAUGCAAGUCGAGCGGCAGCACGGUCUUCGGACUGGUGGCGAGCGGCGGACGGCAGAGUAACGCGUAGGAAUAUACCCCAAAGUGAGGGAUAAGCUCCAGAAAUGGAGUCUAAUACCGCAUAUGGUCUUCGGAUUAAAGCCUUCGGGCGCUAUGGGGAUAGCCUGCGUUCGAUUAGCUAGUUGGUGAGGUAAUGGCUCACCAAGGCGACGAUCGAUAGCUGGUCUGAGAGGAUGAUCAGCCUGACUGGAACUGAGAUACGGUCCAGACUCCUACGGAGGCAGCAGUAGGGAAUUUUCCACAAUGGGCGAAAGCCUGAUGGAGCAACGCCGCGUGCAGGAUGAAGGCCUUCGGGUCGUAAACUGCUUUUGUACGGUAACGAAACGGUGAGCUCUAAUAAAGCUUGCUAAUGACGGUACCGUAAGAAUAAGCACCGGCUAACUACGUGCCAGCAGCCGAC